Molecule: ribosomal RNA, 292 nt
Filed under: uncultured bacterium
Lineage: Bacteria
Also listed under: 1 other name
Description: partial 16S ribosomal RNA
Source: RNAcentral
GGACUACUAGGGUUUCUAAUCCUGUUUGAUCCCCACGCUUUCGUGCCUCAGUGUCAAUGACCGUGUAGUGAGCUGCCUUCGCAAUUGGUGUUCUAUGUCAUAUCUAAGCAUUUCACCGCUACAUGACAUAUUCCGCUCACCUCCAAGGUAUUCAAGAAAGAUAGUAUCAAUGGCAGUUCCCAAGUUAAGCUCGGGGAUUUCACCACUGACUUACCUUCCCACCUACGCACCCUUUAAACCCAGUGAAUCCGGAUAACGCUUGCACCCUCCGUAUUACCGCGGCGGCUGGCAC